GACGAACGCUGGCGGCGUGCUUAACACAUGCAAGUCGAGCGGAGCGGCGAACGGGCGAGUAACUCGUUAGUAACUGCCCCCCUCUCUGGGAUCACAGUUGGAAACGGCUGCUAAUACCGGAUAGCUGUGUCUGACUCGCGUCCUAUCCGUUUGUGGGUGGGGUAGUGGCCUAACAAGUCGACGACGGGUAGCCGGCCUGAGAGGGCGACCGGCCACUUAGGGCUGAAAAACGGCCCAAACACCGACGGGAGGCAUCAGUGGGGGAUAUUGCACAAUGGGGGAAACACUGAUGGAGCAACGCGCGUGCGGGGUGACGGCCUUCUGGUGGUAAACCGCUUUCAGCCAUGACGCGGUAGUGGCAGAAGAAGCACCGGCUAACUACGUGCCAGCAGCCGCGGUAAUAC
RNAcentral lists this ribosomal RNA (404 nucleotides) under uncultured bacterium. RNAcentral describes it as "partial 16S ribosomal RNA". It matches the Rfam family "Bacterial small subunit ribosomal RNA", at positions 28 to 526 of the family's 1533-position model. The record is from RNAcentral.